AAAUAUUAUAAAUGUUUUUAUUUUACUAUAAACUAUUCUGUUGUUGUAUGGUUGUUGUUUUUUUUUCUGACCAUGAUCUAUAAAAAGCUGUUGUGGCUGUCUGUUACUGGAGAUUUCUCCAAACAAAAACAUGGAUGCUGAUUAAGAGGGACUCAUCAUAUGGCCAGUGUUCCAUUUUAUUGAAAUGCAGAAUUAGUUUGUGGUCUGGAUCAUGUGAUCUGCAAUACAUUCCAGUCCGAGGCUUUUACUUGUGAUUGCCAUCAUAACAGUGAUAACAUCAACUUGUGAUCAGUGAAGCAGGAGCACUAUAAGAAGAGCAGCAUGGCAGACAAUCAAGGAGGCCAUUCACAGCUUCCACUCACACCCGGACUGUGGAGUUUCUUUUAUUGGACUUACCUUUCUGGACACUUCCAGCCACUUGGAUUUCACUCAGAUUGGAUUGUGUAUAUACACUGCUGGACACUCACAUUGAGACUCAACAACACAUGGGGAUUCUUGGACUGUUUUUAGGGUUCAUUACAAGAAUCAACCCUGGUGCCACCAAAUGCCAUUCAAAGUCACAGAUGAGAAAAGAAGCAUCAGACUAAAUCCCCUCAUGGUGUUUCUCAUCAGAGAGCUUGUCAGCUUUGCCAAAAUUACUGAAAUUUAACACAACACAAACUAAUGUUUUACUGUAUUUUAUUUCUGUAAAGCCUGUUUUGGGGGGACUGUGAUGAUGCCCUUUUUCAGCUAGUGCAAGCUAGAGG
This is a long non-coding RNA of Cyprinus carpio (common carp), 746 nucleotides long. RefSeq lists it as uncharacterized. The record is from RefSeq and is a predicted model, not a curated record. The transcript is spliced from 4 exons. Lineage: Eukaryota; Metazoa; Chordata; Actinopteri; Cypriniformes; Cyprinidae.